RNAcentral lists this transfer RNA (85 nucleotides) under Caudoviricetes sp. RNAcentral's name for it is "tRNA-Leu". It matches the Rfam family "tRNA". Rfam says of the family: Transfer RNA (tRNA) molecules are approximately 80 nucleotides in length. Their secondary structure includes four short double-helical elements and three loops (D, anti-codon, and T loops). Further hydrogen bonds mediate the characteristic L-shaped molecular structure. tRNAs have two regions of fundamental functional importance: the anti-codon, which is responsible for specific mRNA codon recognition, and the 3' end, to which the tRNAs corresponding amino acid is attached (by aminoacyl-tRNA synthetases). tRNAs cope with the degeneracy of the genetic code in two manners: having more than one tRNA (with a specific anti-codon) for a particular amino acid; and 'wobble' base-pairing, i.e. permitting non-standard base-pairing at the 3rd anti-codon position. The record is from RNAcentral. Lineage: Duplodnaviria; Heunggongvirae; Uroviricota; Caudoviricetes.
GCCGAGAUGGCGAAAUGGCAGCCGCAGGGGACUUAAAAUCCCCUGGUCAGUAAUGGCCGUGCGGGUUCGACUCCCGCUCUCGGUA